UUCUCUAAUGCAGCCCCUCCAAGGGAAAAACAAAGAAGCAGUUUCCGUUAGGCGUCCUGCAAAAGGCCACAGGUUAGAGAUUUUGCUGGGUCUGAACUAUAGAGGCGAGUCUGCAUGUUCACAACACAGAGAGGAUGGGGAACCUUUUAAGAGGGUGUAAGACUAAGCUCUAGGUCCUCAAGAAAACUUGCAGAGGAGGGUACUUCAUCUUGAUAAUCACAUGUAUGUCGGAGUCACGCCCCCAAGAUGGCGCCGGAGCAGUAUGGACAGCCUAAAAAAUAUCUGCCCUGGCCACGCGUGACCUCGUGCUCCUCAUAUGAGCACCGUAUGCCACCACUGCCUACGAGCCCCAGAUACCUCCUGUUCACGUGAACACCCCUGUGAUUGGCUGUUAUGCCCUAUAUAAGGCAAAGGAACUUCCCCGCAGGGGAAGGAGAAGGAAAAAGGGGAGGAGAAAGAUCGACCAGGGAAUAAACAAGAGCUUGUGCAUCGACCUGUGUGUGUGUUGCGUCAUCUCUGCGGGCAGGGAGAGCACGACAUUUGGUGCCGAAACCUGGGAACUCAAACCUCUCCCGAGAAUUAUCUCAGAUGCUCAACGGCACCUGGUCAGCCAAAUUCCACAAUCUGACAGCCUCCCUCCGGAUGGAGAUUCUGCAGAUCAAUGCCAUGAGAGUAAACCCUCUCAUGGCCUCCCAAUUCCUACAAACUAUGCAGGCAGUGGUGGCUUUUGGGAAAUCCUGGUUUGGGACUAUUGCACUCGGCUAUAUUGUGCUCCUCGUCCUCCUCCUGGCGCUGCGUUGGAUAAAGGCCCUCCAACGCACAUUAGCCAGAGACCGGCAGGCUGUACAUCAAGCCUUGGUAGC
Molecule: long non-coding RNA, 863 nt
Organism: Mustela lutreola (European mink)
Lineage: Eukaryota; Metazoa; Chordata; Mammalia; Carnivora; Mustelidae
Exons: 3
Source: RefSeq, a predicted model, not a curated record